GCUGUUAUAGCUCAGUUGGUUAGAGCGCUCGUCUGAUAAGCGGGAGGCAAUAGAUUUAAAUCCAUUGAACAACA
This 74-nucleotide transfer RNA is filed under the name Paenibacillus polymyxa SC2. It matches the Rfam family "tRNA". Rfam says of the family: Transfer RNA (tRNA) molecules are approximately 80 nucleotides in length. Their secondary structure includes four short double-helical elements and three loops (D, anti-codon, and T loops). The record is from Rfam by way of RNAcentral. Lineage: Bacteria; Bacillati; Bacillota; Bacilli; Caryophanales; Paenibacillaceae.